Misgurnus anguillicaudatus (oriental weatherfish) is the source of this 634-nucleotide non-coding RNA. The record is from RefSeq and is a predicted model, not a curated record. Lineage: Eukaryota; Metazoa; Chordata; Actinopteri; Cypriniformes; Cobitidae.
UUAACGUAACCAAUCAUAGACAUUUAACGGUUAAAGGGGUGUGGCCUGCUGCCGGUCAAUCUCGCGCUCAAACAGGCGGGAAACCGACUUUCAAGAAAGGAAAAACAGCUCUGACUGACAAAGAUGAUUCAGAUUAACAUAAUUAAGGAAAGCGACUAUCGUCUGGGUAGCACCUGUAGCUGGGGUCCUCGUGAUGCGCAGAGCAUGUUUCCAUAGGAACAUUUUCCAUGGUAACAUCAGAGAGCAACAACUUCCUGUGUUUCAGGCUGCAACGACUGCGUACUUCUUCUGACACAGGCAGGAGAGCUGCACACAGAUAAGAAAAAAGCAGUAAACCCAAACUUUCUUACCAGCCAGAUACGCUACGCUCUGCGUGUUCACUUCGAACUUAUCACAGUUCAGGUGUUUUCCUACCAAGGCCAACAGCAUGUGCAGGAUACGAAUCGUGCGUGCUACUGUGGUUGGAGAAGGGUGUCUGAAGCCUGCCAAAAUAAAAAUUCAGACUCAAAAGAAGCAUAUACAGCCACAAUGCACUGCAAAAGUUGUCUAGUUUACUGAAGGAAAUAUUUAAAAAUCUAUGUAAAAAUAAAUUUACAUCACAUGCAAAAGCAGAAUGUUUUAUUUGCACUGACAA